Molecule: long non-coding RNA, 2104 nt
Organism: Acinonyx jubatus (cheetah)
Lineage: Eukaryota; Metazoa; Chordata; Mammalia; Carnivora; Felidae
Exons: 3
Source: RefSeq, a predicted model, not a curated record
CCUGAACAAAGAGAAAAAGGCGACAUGCAAAGAUCUGCUUGGGAAGAGUGUGCAUGUGCAAAGGCCCUGGGGUAUGAAAAGGUGUGGCACGUUUGGGGAAGGGAAAGAAGGCUGGAGUGUUUGGAGGUGGGAGAAGGAGAUCAGAGAGCCGGGCAGAGGCCAGAUCACAAAGGCCUCAUUAUGACCUGUCAUGGCAAGAAGUUUGAAGGUCUCCUCAAUCCAGUGAGAAGCCACUAAAGGGCUUGAAGCAGCAGAGGAUUCAAUUUACGUUUUUAAAAGAUUGGUCUGGCUGCUGUUUGGAAACGUAUCUUUGAGAGAAAAGCCAAGACACAAGGAGACAAAUACCACUGAUGAACAGGGCUUUGCUCCAGGUGGCAGCUGUAGGUCUGAGACGAAGUUGAAAGUCAAGUCCCAUAGGACCAGAGGACCGGCUGUGAGCUGGAUGUGCAGUGUAAGGGAGGGCCAGGAGGCAAGAUGGACGCUUGAGUUUCUGGGUUAAGCCAAAUGUCGAUGUUCUCUGCCGAAGUGGGAAAGUUGGAGAGAAGCAAUUUCAUCCGAGGCGAGACACGAAUCGAGAGCUCCCCCACCAGGAACUGUCCGUUGUAAUGUCCUGCCACCCUCCACGAUGCCUCAGUGCUCAGGACCCCUGCCGCACCUUGGCUCCUGCCAGCCUCUGCCUAGACGCUCCUCCUUUGUCCUCAUUUCCUUUCUAAAACCUACCCUGUGUCUUCCUUCCUCCUUCUGACAUCUGGGACUUAAGAUCACCCAACCCGAUUACCCAUUACCACUCCAUUAUAUCUGCUUCUCUAUUGUUUGCUAAUUGGUGUACCUAGAAAGUGUAUCUCCUGGCGAGGCAGUAACCGUGGUCAUUUUUCUCUUUCGAUGAGAAAGAGAAAUUGCAGGUCACUUUGCCUGCAAUUAAGGGUCUGUGAGGCGGAGGAAUGAUUUGUGAUAUCUUGCUCAUGGCCUCCUGGCCCCAAAACCGUGACUUUGUGCCGACUUGGGCAGGGGGAAAAUGGGAGAGAGUAUCAUACUUUUUGCCUCAAUCAUCCUUUUAAAAAAACCCCAACUUAUAAAGCUGGAGAUGAUAGAAAGCCUGAAAAGAGGUAGUGUUACGGAUUGUGCUUCUACAGACGUAGACACCUGUAUACAAUCUGAUUCUUUUUGUGUUCCUUCAUGACUGAUUUUAAUACUACGUUCCAGGUCCUAACCCUGCUGAAGUAUUCUCUCCCUCAGCAUAGAGUCGGCUGUCCUUUCCAGAGAGCUUGUUGCUAAAGGAAAUUUCCAGUGGAUUCUCGGUCCCUUCUCCUCUGGGCUACCAAAGUCAUCGCUUUCCACAGGGCAGACUGGGAAGUAGGGUGUUUGAUGCUGGGACAGACAAGGAAGAAAAGGGAAACGUAUGAUAUGCUGGCUGCUUUGUGCACCUUGUCCUUAAUACAACGGCUUUGCAAUGCUCUUGAGGUCACACGUGGAGCCAUCCGGCAUACAGACUUUGGAGUCAGAGAACCGAGUCUGCGUGACCUUGGAAAAGUCACUGGCAUUUUCUGAUCGCCAUUCUUCAUGUUUAAAGUGUUGAUGAUCAGAGGAGCACCUACUUCCUGGGCUGGUCAAAGAGUUCUGGGAGAUCCCACACAGAGAGCACUCAACACAGUGCUCGGCACACACAAAGCACUAGCUAACCAUCAGCGAUCUUUAUGGCCACCACUCUCCUUUGACAUAAGGAGACGGGGCUCCGAGGCCCUGAGUGACUUUGCCCACGGUCACACAGCUGGUAUGCAGCAGAACCCAGGGCUGUCCAGCUUGUGAGCCUACUCUUUGUACUAUGCCAUGUGCAAAGAAUCAAGAUUUCAAAAGAGCGUUGUGGGCUGUAACUGGAAAGUGAAAAAAAAAAAUGCCUUUCAAUAGGGAUCAAUGCAAAGGACUUCAUUAAGGCCACAAAUACUAUUUACUCAAGGACAGUGAUGGACGGACCUGGCUCCAUCACUCUGAAAACACUCGAUGUCUAAGAGCAGCAAGGUUGCAAGCUUAGUGCGAGAGCAGCGUGGCAAUCAGGACAACGCCUGACAUCUUGGGCGGCCUCAGCGUGUCCCGCUCAAGUGGCGGG